RNAcentral lists this ribosomal RNA (237 nucleotides) under uncultured bacterium. Its description in RNAcentral is "partial 16S ribosomal RNA". It matches the Rfam family "Bacterial small subunit ribosomal RNA", at positions 112 to 334 of the family's 1533-position model. The record is from RNAcentral.
AACACGUGGACAACCUGCCUUGGAGUGGGGGGAUAACCUGGGGAAACUCGGGCUAAUACCGCAUACGUCUCGAGAACUUCGGUUCGAGAGGGAAAGCUGGCCAAUACUUGUAAGCUGGCGCUCCUUGAGGGGUCCGCGUUCGAUUAGCUUGUUGGUGAGGUAAUGGCUCACCAAGGCGACGAUCGAUAGCCGGCCUGAGAGGGUGAUCGGCCACACUGGGACUGAGACACGGCCCAG